Oncorhynchus keta (chum salmon) is the source of this 291-nucleotide long non-coding RNA. RefSeq lists it as uncharacterized. The record is from RefSeq and is a predicted model, not a curated record. NCBI's taxonomy places the organism in Eukaryota, Metazoa, Chordata, Actinopteri, Salmoniformes, Salmonidae. The transcript has 3 exons.
GGUGUUCCAUAAGGUGUUCCAUAAGGUGUCCCAUAAGGUGUUCCAUAAGGUGUUCCAUAAGGUGUUCCAUAAGGUGUUCCCAUAAGGUGUCCCAUAAGGUGUUCCAUAAGGUGUUCCAUAAGGUGUUCCAUAAGGUGUUCCAUAAGGUGUUCCAUAAGGUGUUCCAUAAGGUGUUCCAUAAGGUGUCCCAUAAGGUGUUCCAUAAGGUGUUCCAUAAGGUGUUCCAUAAGGUGUUCCAUAAGGUGUUCCAUAAGGUGUUCCAUAAGGUGUUCCCAUAAGGUGUUCCCAUAA